Molecule: ribosomal RNA, 253 nt
Filed under: uncultured bacterium
Lineage: Bacteria
Description: partial 16S ribosomal RNA
Rfam family: Bacterial small subunit ribosomal RNA
Source: RNAcentral
GACAGAGGGUGCUAGCGUUGUUCGGAAUUACUGGGCGUAAAGGGCGCGUAGGCGGCCCGCUAAGUUUGGCGUGAAAGCCCCCGGCUCACCUGGGGAACGGCGCUGGAUACUGGCGGGCUAGAGUACCGGAGAGGAGGGUGGAAUUCCUGGUGUAGCGGUGAAAUGCGUAGAUAUCAGGAGGAACACCGGUGGCGAAGGCGGCCCUCUGGACGGAUACUGACGCUGAGGCGCGAAAGCGUGGGGAUCAAACAGG